RNAcentral lists this ribosomal RNA (253 nucleotides) under uncultured bacterium. Its description in RNAcentral is "partial 16S ribosomal RNA". It matches the Rfam family "Bacterial small subunit ribosomal RNA", at positions 524 to 776 of the family's 1533-position model. The record is from RNAcentral.
UACGAAGGGGGCUAGCGUUGUUCGGAAUCACUGGGCGUAAAGCGCACGCAGGCGGAUUGAUAAGUCAGGGGUGAAAUCCCGGAGCUCAACUUCGGAAUUGCCUUUGAUACUGUCAAUCUCGAGUCCGGGAGAGGUGAGUGGAAUUCCUAGUAUAGAGGUGAAAUUCGUAGAUAUUAGGAAGAACACCAGUGGCGAAGGCGGCUCACUGGCCCGGUACUGACGCUCAUGUGCGAAAGCGUGGGGAGCAAACAGG